Molecule: non-coding RNA, 105 nt
Filed under: uncultured Butyrivibrio sp.
Lineage: Bacteria; Bacillati; Bacillota; Clostridia; Lachnospirales; Lachnospiraceae
Description: FMN riboswitch (RFN element)
Rfam family: FMN riboswitch aptamer (RFN element)
About the family: The RFN element is a highly conserved domain that is found frequently in the 5'-untranslated regions of prokaryotic mRNAs that encode for flavin mononucleotide (FMN) biosynthesis and transport proteins. This element is a metabolite-dependent riboswitch that directly binds FMN in the absence of proteins.
Source: RNAcentral
UUCUUCAGGGUUGCGUGAAAUUCGCUACCGGCGGUAAAGCCCGCGAGCAUUUGCAUGAUUCGGUGAAAUUCCGAAGCCGACAGUAAAGUCUGGAUGAAAGAAGAA